GAUGAACGCUGGCGGCGUGCCUAAUACAUGCAAGUCGAGCGAAUGGAUUGAGAGCUUGCUCUUAUGAAGUUAGCGGCGGACGGGUGAGUAACACGUGGGUAACCUGCCCAUAAGACUGGGAUAACUCCGGGAAACCGGGGCUAAUACCGGAUAACAUUUUGAACCGCAUGGUUCGAAAUUGAAAGGCGGCUUCGGCUGUCACUUAUGGAUGGACCCGCGUCGCAUUAGCUAGUUGGUGAGGUAACGGCUCACCAAGGCAACGGUGCGUAGCCGACCUGAGAGGGUGAGCGGCCACACUGGGACUGCGACACGGCCCAGACUCCUACGGGAGGCAGCAGUAGGGAAUCUUCCGCAAUGGACGAAAGUCUGACGGAGCAACGCCGCGUGAGUGAUGAAGGCUUUCGGGUCGUAAAACUCUGUUGUUAGGGAAGAACAAGUGCUAGUUGAAUAAGCUGGCACCUUGACGGUACCUAACCAGAAAGCCACGGCUAACUACGUGCCAGCCACCGCAGUAA
RNAcentral lists this ribosomal RNA (515 nucleotides) under uncultured bacterium. RNAcentral's name for it is "partial 16S ribosomal RNA". It matches the Rfam family "Bacterial small subunit ribosomal RNA", at positions 28 to 523 of the family's 1533-position model. The record is from RNAcentral.